This 74-nucleotide transfer RNA is filed under the name Loxodonta africana (African savanna elephant). It matches the Rfam family "tRNA". From Rfam's summary of the family: Transfer RNA (tRNA) molecules are approximately 80 nucleotides in length. Their secondary structure includes four short double-helical elements and three loops (D, anti-codon, and T loops). Lineage: Eukaryota; Metazoa; Chordata; Mammalia; Proboscidea; Elephantidae. The record is from Rfam by way of RNAcentral.
CCCUGUGUGGUGCAAACAUUUAACAUGCUUGGCUGCUAACCAAAAGGUUGGAGGUUCAAGUCCACCCAGAGGUG